GUGUCAGCCGCCGCGGUAAGACAGAGGUGGCUAGCGUUGUUCGGAUUUAUUGGGCGUAAAGCGCACGCAGGCGGUUUGGUAAGUCAGAGGUGAAAUUCCGCAGCUUAACUGCGGAACUGCCUUUGAUACUGCCUUUCUCGAGUGCAUGAGGGGGAAGCGGAAUUCCGAGUGUAGAGGUGAAAUUCGUAGAUAUUCGGAGGAACACCGGUGGCGAAGGCGGCUUCCUGGCAUGUAACUGACGCUCAGGUGCGAAAGCGUGGGGAGCAAACAGGAUUAGAUACCCUGGUAGUCCACGCCCUAAACGAUGGGCACUAGGUGUGGGAGGUAUCGACCCCUUCCGUGCCGCAGCUAACGCAUUAAGUGCCCCGCCUGGGGAGUACGGCCGCAAGGUUGAA
RNAcentral lists this ribosomal RNA (395 nucleotides) under uncultured bacterium. RNAcentral's name for it is "bacterial SSU rRNA". It matches the Rfam family "Bacterial small subunit ribosomal RNA", at positions 505 to 898 of the family's 1533-position model. The record is from RNAcentral.